Molecule: transfer RNA, 77 nt
Filed under: Anaerobiospirillum thomasii
Lineage: Bacteria; Pseudomonadati; Pseudomonadota; Gammaproteobacteria; Aeromonadales; Succinivibrionaceae
Description: tRNA-Arg(ccg)
Rfam family: tRNA
About the family: Transfer RNA (tRNA) molecules are approximately 80 nucleotides in length.
Source: RNAcentral
GAUCCCGUAGCUCAGUUGGAUAGAGUUCCAGCCUCCGACGCUGUAGGUCAUGAGUUCGACUCUCAUCGGGAUCGCCA